UGGGGAAUAUUGGACAAUGGGGGGAACCCUGAUCCAGCCAUGCCGCGUGUGUGAAGAAGGCCUUAGGGUUGUAAAGCACUUUCAGUGGGGAGGAAGGGUGAUGUAUUAAUAGUGCAUCACAUUGACGUUACUCACAGAAGAAGCACCGGCUAACUCCGUGCCAGCAGCCGCGGUAAUACGGAGGGUGCAAGCGUUAAUCGGAAUUACUGGGCGUAAAGCGCACGCAGGCGGUCAAUUAAGUCGGAUGUGAAAUCCCCGGGCUCAACCUGGGAACUGCAUUCGAAACUGGUUGGCUAGAGUCUUGUAGAGGGGGGUAGAAUUCCAAGUGUAGCGGUGAAAUGCGUAGAGAUUUGGAGGAAUACCGGUGGCGAAGGCGGCCCCCUGGACAGAGACUGACGCUCAGGUGCGAAAGCGUGGGGAGCAAACAGG
RNAcentral lists this ribosomal RNA (429 nucleotides) under uncultured bacterium. RNAcentral's name for it is "bacterial SSU rRNA". It matches the Rfam family "Bacterial small subunit ribosomal RNA", at positions 355 to 776 of the family's 1533-position model. The record is from RNAcentral.